RNAcentral lists this long non-coding RNA (834 nucleotides) under Homo sapiens (human). RNAcentral's name for it is "HSALNT0099105". The record is from RNAcentral. Lineage: Eukaryota; Metazoa; Chordata; Mammalia; Primates; Hominidae.
GUGAGCGGGGUCGUGGGGAGAGGGCGCGCGGGGCCCAGGGAACCCGUGAUGGAAAAGGAAGCCCGCAGUGGGUCUGACUCUUCAAGAGAUAAGGAAGUGGUAGGAAAGUAGCCUUGCGCGGUGGGUAUCUUAGAGGCAAAAAGAAAGUGACUCCGCCAGGCUCUGGCCUCCCAGGAAGGCGGAAGUAGGCUUGCCUAUCUUCCACUUUUCUAUCUUUAAGGAAAGAAUAGGAAAAGACGGAAGCAGGCCCCAGCGAGAUUUGAACUCGCGACCCUGGUUUACAAGACCAGUGCUCUAACCCCUGAGCUAUGGAGCCGGCUGUUGGUUUCCUUUUGACACAAAAGCAGUUGACGCUGUCGCCGGCGCCGCGCAGCCGCAGUCCGCUGAACCCUCGGCCGAGUUCUGUGGCUGCUGGACCCAAGCUCCUCCCACGGCCGCAGCCAUCUUGCCCGUGCGUCCGUGGCACGGAACGGCCGUUAGUCCCGGCAGAGGGCUCCGCGAAGACAGUGCCGUCGUUGGGCGCGCGCGCGGGCGGGAGCUGUCGGGGCGGGGCGGCACCGCCGAGCUCCGAGCUGUGAGGACCGCCCCGGGCCUUGGGCGGGGCGGGGGCCAGGGAAGGGCGUGCGCAGGAUUGGGGAGCACGUUUUGCGUCUUGCUGUGCGUGAGGAAGCGGGGAUCCAGGUCAAGGCUAUGGAAAGUUCCAGAAGCAAAAACAAAAAAAGUUCGGGUACAGCGGCUCACACCUGUAAUCCCAGCUCUUAGGGAGAUGGAAACUGGAGGAUCACUUGAGGCCAGGAGUUCAAGACCAGCCUGGGCAACAUAGCAAGACCCAGU